UGAGGAAUAUUGCGCAAUGGGCGAAAGCCUGACGCAGCCACGCCGCGUGGAGGAAGACACCCCUAUGGGGCGUAAACUCCUUUUAUGUGAGAAGAAGGCCCUAGUCGCUAGGGUUUGACGGUAUCACAUGAAUAAGCACCGGCUAACUCCGUGCCAGCAGCCGCGGUAAUACGGAGGGUGCAAGCGUUGUCCGGAUUCACUGGGUGUAAAGGGUGUGUAGGCGGAGCAGCAAGUCAGUGGUGAAAGCCUGCGGCUUAACCGUAGAACUGCCAUUGAUACUGUUGUUCUUGAGUACUGGAGAGGCUACUAGAAUUCGUGGUGUAGCGGUGAAAUGCGUAGAUAUCACGAGGAAUACCAGAGGCGUAGGCGGGUAGCUGGACAGAUACUGACGCUGAGGCACGAAAGCGUGGGGAGCAAACAGGAUUAGAUACCCCCGUAGUCC
This 442-nucleotide ribosomal RNA is filed under the name uncultured prokaryote. RNAcentral's name for it is "bacterial SSU rRNA". It matches the Rfam family "Bacterial small subunit ribosomal RNA", at positions 355 to 796 of the family's 1533-position model. The record is from RNAcentral.